UAGGGAAUCUUCCACAAUGGGCGCAAGCCUGAUGGAGCAACGCCGCGUGAGUGAAGAAGGUCUUCGGAUCGUAAAACUCUGUUGUUAGAGAAGAACACGAGUGAGAGUAACUGUUCAUUCGAUGGCGGUAUCUAACCAGCAAGUCACGGCUAACUACGUGUCAG
RNAcentral lists this ribosomal RNA (164 nucleotides) under uncultured bacterium. RNAcentral's name for it is "partial 16S rRNA". It matches the Rfam family "Bacterial small subunit ribosomal RNA", at positions 355 to 511 of the family's 1533-position model. The record is from RNAcentral.